GACGAACCGAGCGAACGUUGUUCGGAAUCACUGGGCUUAAAGGGCGCGUAGGCGGGCCGCCGCGUCCGGGGUGAAAUCCUCCCGCUCAACGGGAGAACGGCCUCGGAUACGGGCGGUCUGGAGGGGGGUAGGGGCGUGCGGAACUGUGGGUGGAGCGGUGAAAUGCGUUGAUAUCCACAGGAACUCCGGUGGCGAAGGCGGCACGCUGGACCUCACCUGACGCUGAGGCGCGAAAGCCAGGGGAGCGAACGGG
This 253-nucleotide ribosomal RNA is filed under the name uncultured bacterium. RNAcentral describes it as "partial 16S ribosomal RNA". It matches the Rfam family "Bacterial small subunit ribosomal RNA", at positions 524 to 776 of the family's 1533-position model. The record is from RNAcentral.